GGCUCCGAUGGCACGACUGACAUAGCAAUUUCGAUGACAUUUAACUCCCAAACCAGAGUGAACUAGAGGAUGGUGCAUUUGACAAACUUGGUGAACUAAACGAGAUCUAAAACUUUGUCAAUUGGAGCAGAAGCCAAUUUGGCCUGGAUGAAGAGAUACAAGGUUCCAAAGAUCCUUCGAGCAAACUAUGUUGCUCUGGUGACUUAGAAAUAUUUCAAAGUGCCAAAACAACACCCAAAAUUUCCUUGUGACCCAAAUUUGAGCAUGUUGUGAUCAUUUUCAUGAGAUGGCCCUAAAACAACUUUUGUUCCUUACAAAAUUUGCUACAACUUUGAUUUAGAGAGUUUUGACAUGCAAACAUUUUAUGAAACACUUUUUAAAAUCCUAAGCAAAAGAGGUCUAUAUGUCACCCUAUGUGAAACUAUGACUUACAAGCAUAAUUAGAGCAAGUGACCAACAUGAACAUUGAUCCCUAGGAAAUGAUAAGCAUAGAUAAACUAGUUACCAAGAUUGUAACCACACCCUAGCAUAAGGUACACAAGAUCAUAAGCAUAACAAGCACCAAUUAGAUAGAAAAGCACACACUUAGCACAUGAAAUGAUAGGGUCCACAUGACAUGAUGCUCAUGAAAUGAAAUGAUGAUGAUCAUGCUCAUGUCAUUCAAGAAAAUAAUGCAACCAUAACACUGGGGUGUUACACUAUGUUGCUUCUAUCCUCAGAAGUACGCCCCCUUUUACUCUGUUCUACUUCUAUUCCUAGAAGUAUCACCCACAUAUAUACACACUCCAAGCACAUGUGCUGCUCCUACCCUAGGAGUACGCAUUCCUCUAUUCACAUGCAUUCACUUUUUUCAUUUUAAAAAUGUUCUACUCCUACACUGGGAGUGAACACCAAAAAUAUAUGUCACCAUCCUAUCCUUUUUCCGUCAUCCAAUAAAGCUCUAGUUACUCCAGUUAUCACUCCCUAGCUAUUAAUAUAUUUCUAGUGAAAGGCUUGGUUGCUCUCAGAAAAAAGAAAAAAAAAGAAAGUGGACAAAUGUCCCAAGAAAUAAAGUAAGAGAGCAAGCCAAGUUCCUCCAAGGUCUUCAAUUUCCAAAUAAGGGAGGUAUGUUAACAUGAAGGAGCAAAUGUAGAAUUAGAUCUCCACCACUAUCAUCAUCGCCAUUUAUAUCACUCGCUUCACUCCUCUUAUUCACAUGCACAUAUGAUCUUAUUGUAUAACUAGUUUCUUUGGAUCCAGGGUUUAACUAUACAACAUAUGUUUGCAAGUAUGUUUGAGAUGUCUCCCCACCUAUGAGCCCCACAUAAGCCUAUUAGAUGUAGGGUGAGAGAGAGAGGGCAUAACGCCACUAUGCCUUAAUUCCACAAAUACCACAUAUUCUGAGAGUAGAGAGAAGGCAUACAUCAUUCAUUGGUAAGGAUCCAGAAAUACCACAGAUGAGAAACUUGAAAGGGUCAUAUAAGUAAACUCUAAGUUUUAUUCAAAAAUCUUACAAAAACUCUGGAAUAAUAGUUGAUCAAAGAGCGAGAAAUAUAGCACUUAACUUGACUAUUCUGUCUUUUAACUGCUCAAGACCCAAGUGAUGGUUACAAGCCCCAUGGUGGAAGGUAAUAUGAGUAAGAUUCAAGUCAGAAUAGUUCAUUUUAUUUUGGAGGAGAGUUCUUGUUUGAAUGCAUGUGUACUUUUGAGGCAUGAAAGCAUUGUAGCAAUUCAUGAUCCAUCACUUUUAUCUUUGCUCAGAGACGAGCAAAGGGUAAGCUUGCGGGAGUUGUUGGCGGUAGAUAACUCCUAAUUUUAACCGUCAACUGGACACGAAAAUGGAUCUAUAUGCAAAACACCAAGUAGAUAUAGGGUUAUCACUAACAGAAUUCCAUAAGUUUUGGUGAUUGUCUAUUUCUACAGGGGGUUAUCGGAAUAAGAAUAAAAGGAUGUCC
Molecule: long non-coding RNA, 1934 nt
Filed under: Sorghum bicolor (sorghum)
Lineage: Eukaryota; Viridiplantae; Streptophyta; Magnoliopsida; Poales; Poaceae
Description: long non-coding RNA (SBIC_LNC003143)
Source: RNAcentral